Molecule: ribosomal RNA, 491 nt
Filed under: uncultured bacterium
Lineage: Bacteria
Description: partial 16S ribosomal RNA
Rfam family: Bacterial small subunit ribosomal RNA
Source: RNAcentral
AGUGAACGCUGGCGGUAGGCCUAACACAUGCAAGUCGAACGGCAGCACAGUAAGAGCUUGCUCUUACGGGUGGCGAGUGGCGGACGGGUGAGGAAUACAUCGGAAUCUACUUUUUCGUGGGGGAUAACGUAGGGAAACUUACGCUAAUACCGCAUACGACCUACGGGUGAAAGCAGGGGAUCUUCGGACCUUGCGCGAUUGAAUGAGCCGCUGUCGGAUUAGCUAGUUGGCGGGGUAAAGGCCCACCAAGGCGACGAUCCGUAGCUGGUCUGAGAGGAUGAUCAGCCACACUGGAACUGAGACACGGUCCAGACUCCUACGGGAGGCAGCAGUGGGGAAUAUUGGACAAUGGGCGCAAGCCUGAUCCAGCCAUACCGCGUGGGUGAAGAAGGCCUUCGGGUUGUAAAGCCCUUUUGUUGGGAAAGAAAAGCAGCAGGUUAAUACCCCGCUGUUCUGACGGUACCCAAAGAAUAAGCACCGGCUAACUUCGU